Xyrauchen texanus (razorback sucker) is the source of this 2976-nucleotide RNA transcript. RefSeq lists it as uncharacterized. Lineage: Eukaryota; Metazoa; Chordata; Actinopteri; Cypriniformes; Catostomidae. The record is from RefSeq and is a predicted model, not a curated record. The transcript is spliced from 5 exons.
AGAAUUGCUAGACUUGUUUAAACUUGUCACGUAGGAUUCGUUGCUAGAUUUGCUUAGACUUCGGGUUGGUUAUCCUGUGUGUGUGUAAAACUUUCGUCGUUUUAGUGUCUGCAAACAGUGCUUCACUGGUUUCAGAGUAUUAUUUAUUGCUAAGUGCAGCAUAAUUUAUUUGCGCUGUACAGAAGUUGCGUUUGUUCCCGCGCAACCCUGAGUUUCGGUUUCGGGUGACCACGUGACUAGCUUUGUUGUGAUAAGUAGCAUUAAGGCGUGGCUGCUUUUUUCCACUGAACGGCUCGUAAAAGUUGUUAUUUAUUGGACUUAAUGCUGACGCCGAAGCGGCAGCGAAGUGGUGGCCCUCGUGUGAAGCCCUCCUUGUGUGAAGACCUACUUGGGUAAAGACCAGCGAGUCUACCUGUGCGAGUCCACCGAGCAAGGACACCGACAAGGCACUACUCACCAAAGCACUUAAGUAUUUUUCUAUUCUAUCUCUUUUAUUAUUUUACUUAUACAUACAUACUAACAUGUCUAGUUCACUAAUAACACAUGCCUUCAAGCACAUCCCUGUUAUCUGUUGUAGACCGUUCACAAGAUACAGAUGCAAGACAAAACGCAACCCACACAACCUACGGCCGCUUUGCACUUCAACACCUGCUCCACUCUCGUUCUCAGUGGGACUCUGGAACUGCCAGUCUGCUGUGAACAAAGCUGCCUUCAUUCCGGCUUUAGCCACGCAGUCCACCCUCAGCAUCCUGGCACUGACAGAGACAUGGAUACGUCCUGAGGAUACAGCAACACCUGCUGCUCUCUCUAACAACUUCUCCUUCUCCCACACCCCUCGACAUACUGGUAGGGGUGGGGGAACAGGUCAGCUGACAAGCUUUCUUGAGGAAUUGGAUGUCCUGCUGUCCUCCUUGCCAGAGGAUGGCAGGCCACUUGUGGUUCUUGGUGAUUUCAACAUACACCAGGACAAACCCCAGGCCAUUGAACUGAAUACUCUUCUGGCCUCAUUUGACUUGGAAAGACUACACACCACAGCAACUCACAGACCAGCACGGACUACACCACCCAGCCCCUGGCUGUCUGACAUCCUUCGUGAACAUCGGACUGUUCUCAGGGCAGCUGAGAGGAGAUGGCGGAAAUCUAAAGAUCCAGCUGAUCUAGCCCAACGACACCACAGUGACCGUUCGAAUCGCUGCCUGUCUGGCAGACAUCUCGGCCUGGAUGAAGGAACACCACCUUCAACUCAACCCUGCCAAGACAGAACUCCUUGUCUUUCCAGCCAACCCUGCUGUUGAACACAACAUCACCGUGCAGCUGGGUCCAACUACAGUUUCGCCUUCCAAAGCGGUCAGAAAUCUAGGGAUGGUUUGAGUCAUAUCUCACUGGAAGAUUGUUCAAGGUCUCCUGGAGAGGAGAGGUGUCCAAGACACACCAGCUGACCACUGGGUUUCUUCAAGGAUCAGUGCUUGGACCACUCACUCGGUAUACAUAUCACCACUGGGACCAGUCAUGGCGGCACAUGGCUUUUCUACCACUGAUAUGCAGAUGAUACGCAGCUCUACCUGUUGUUCCAGCCUGAUGACCCUACUGUCUCAGCUCUAUCUCUGCCUGCCUCUCUGACAUUUUGGCCUGGAUGAAGGAAUGUCACCUUCAGCUCAACCUUAUUAAGAUAGAACUCUUCGUGAUCCUAGCCAACCCAUCUGUUGACCACAACAUCACUAUUCAUCUUGGUUCAACUACACUAACACAACCACAACAGCCCAGAACCCUGGAGAUGUGGUUGAUGACCAGCUUCAUUUCACUGCACACAUCUCAUCAACAGCCUGGUCUUGUAGAGUCAAGCUUUACAACAUCAGGAAAAUCAGACAUUUCCUGACCAAAUAUGAUACACAGCUCCUGGUUCAAGCUCUGGUCAUUUCAAGACUGGACUACUGCAAUGCUCUUUUGGCUGGCCUUCCAACUAACACAAUUAAGGCACUGCAGAUGGUCCAGAAUGCAGCAGUGUGUCUGAUCUUCAAUCAGCCAAAAAGGGCUCAUGUCACCCCUCUCUUGAUUUCACUCCAAUGGUUACCUGUAGCUGCCAAUUCAAAGCUCUGGCUUUGAGGACAGCCAAUGGAACCGCACUCUUUUACUUCAAUUCACUUUUUCAGGUCUAUGCCCCAACUUGCUCUCUCCAGUCUGUGAACAAGUGAUGCCUGGUGGUCCCAUCACAAAGAGACUCAAAGUCCAUUUCACGGUCAUUUUCUGUCUCUGCUCUUCUGGGGUGGAAUGAACUUCCAACCUCCACACAAUCUGCUGUUACUUUCUCAACAUUCAAGAAUCAACUGAAAACACAACUGUUCCACGAGCACUUAACAAACCCACCCUAAUUGCACUUACCACUGCACUUAACUGCACUUAAUGUACUAAAAAAACUAUAAUAAUUCCUUGUCUGUCUGUUUCUUUUGUGCUAGCACCUUUACUACUUAAGCCACUGUAAGAACUUGGUAGUCCUAUCUUGCAGAUGUUGUAAAACUUUGUGUGACAAAUUGCUUGUUAUGUGUCUCACUUGUAAGUCAUUUUGGAUAAAAGCAUCUGCUAAAUGACUAAAUGUAAUUCUGUCACAGGUCUAGGGAUAGAAACAUUAUAAAUAUUACACUAAAUUGUCUUCCACUGUGACUGGACCAUGAAAUAGUCAUUAUACAAUACUGACAUCCAGUGGUAGAACAUAACAUUUCAGACCAGAAAAAUGCAAUGCAUGUCUCUAAAAGCUUACACAAGAGAGGGAGAGUUAAGAAGCUACAUGUCUGAAUAAAAAGUACUUAAUUUGUAAUUUUGUGACAGUAGCGAUGGAGUUGUUAUUUAGCUUACUUAACAUAGGUCUUUAAAAUUGGCUUUUCACAGCAGCUAUAACAUUGAAUUAAUUAAUGAAUUAAACUGACAGGUGGCCUGUCAUUUCUCUUACAACAAAUGAAUUUAAGGAGGAAAGUUUGUAUA